CUCUCGCCACCCUCCUGUCCAAUUAGCUCCGACUAGCAAAAGUUUGGGUUGUUCCUGAGGGCAUGUAUGGUCUAGGCUGAGUGAAGACUAUCUAGGUCAACACAGUGGUUUCUGUUUCUGUUGUCUUCUAAAAUCUCCCACAUUUGUGUUUCAAGCAUGUCCUGAUUUUCUUCUUUUACACGCUGGUCUUUACUCUUUAACCCGCGUUUAACAACCAGACAGCACAUUGUUUAUGACGGGGAAGAUAAGGGAAGAACACUGCAGGACUAUAAAAAAAAAGGGGGGGAUGACACAAUAUACAACAUAUCAUGCCAACGUGGGUUAUUAGUAGGAGGCACUGCCAUUUGGACCUGCACGUACUGGACUACAUUUGUUGUGGAAGAAGCAGAAAGGCUCAGGACGUGCACGUGUAGAUAUGUGAAGAGACUGUCAUCAUGGCAACCCACUGCCCAGCGCGCGCCUUGCUCAUGCUUGUUGGAUUUCUUACCUUUUUGGUUGCGUUUACACUGAACACUCUGGCGGGAUACGGCGCUAACUCAGGUGUCUUCAAUCAGGCGACGGAGGAUGUGACACUCAAGUACACAACACCCAUAACUCCUGCUGCGUGGGCCCUGUUUGUCUGGGAUUUCAUUUACAUCUGGGUCUUUGCCAUGUUCAUAUACCUUUUAGUGGGACUCUGCAGAAGGAGCGCUUACGACUGGCUGUACACCACCCCGGCAGUGCUACCCUAUGGAUUUCACGUCUCCAUCAUCGCCAACGUCUGUUUGAAUAUCACAUGGUUGUUUCUGUAUGACAGAGAGUUGCUGCUGCCAGGGCUGAUAACCUCAGCGCUUAUGACGAUCACCGAUUACAUGGUCCUGUUUUUCUCCUGUCAUGGACUGAAGAUCUAUGGAGCCUGGUUGCACAAAUAUCAAAACACGGACCUUUGGCUCAUCAGAAUAUUGGUGCAAAAUGGAGUAGCAGUAUAUGCAACAUGGGGGACUCUCUUCACUCUGCUGAACCUGACGACAUACAUACAGCACCUGGCGGAGGUAUCUAAAUGUGACUGUGCAAAGCUGUCACUUAUGCUGCUGCUGAUGAAGUUGUUAGGCUGGUUUCUGUUGGAGAACUUCCACCUCGACAAGCACGUGCGCUACAUCGUGACCGUCUACCCUGUGGUGAUGCUGUGGAUGUCAGGCGUACUGAGCAACUCCAGCUCUCAUGGAAGUACUGUUUACAUCUUCUCAGCUUCUAUCAUGGUUAUUACCACGUGUCUGUUUGUGGCACGCAUCGCCCUGGUCACCUGGAGGCAUUACAAACAACCGCUUUACAACGACACUGGACCCAGUAUGUCGCCUGUAGAAAUAGCACUGACACAAGGAAAACUCUGUUUAUGAACGUGAGCUCGGAGCUUAACUCAUCAUUUUUGCGUUGUUGUUUGUAUGUUUGUUUUUUUCCCCGAGUGGAAAUCUCAGUCUGUAGAUUUGUAAAUUGCCACGUGGGACAGAAAUACUCAAAAAUAUGAAAAUUUAAAUCAAAGAAUGUACAGAUGAUUUCACCAAUUAAAGAAAAAAAUUUAAACAUUGGAUGUAAUUGUAUUAUAUGUAACACUUAUGUAUGUAUGUAUGAAUGUUAUUUCACUUUCAAAGAAAUAAAUUACACUGAACAAAUGGUGGGUUGAAAAUAAUUUAAAUGUCCAGUGUGAAGGAUUUUGUGGCAAACCGUAUUGGAAAAAAAUUUUAAUAAAAAAUGCAGACCACCCCCAAGCAGGUAAGAUUACAUGUUUUGGUUUGUCCAUUUUGGGCUUCCUUAAAAACAUGGCGGUGCAACAUGGCAGACUCUGAGGAAGACAACCAGAGGUAAUGAAAACACAACAAUUGUUAGUUUCAGGUGAUUAUAUACUAAUAAAAACAUGAUUAUGAACAUUAUAUUUAAUUUGUGCCCACAUAUCCCUAUAAAUCCCAAACACUGGACCUUAAAUGCUAAUAAAAUAGAAUAAAUCGAUUUACCCAAACAUUAAAAAGUCUUUGAAAUAAACAUUUAUUACACUGGAAACGUAGCUGAAACUGUACUUUCAGUAUAACCAGUUAAUCUGUCAUGACAACAAUAAAAAAGGCCCAUCACAGUAUCUCA
Long non-coding RNA from Sparus aurata (gilthead seabream), 2112 nucleotides. Lineage: Eukaryota; Metazoa; Chordata; Actinopteri; Spariformes; Sparidae. The record is from Ensembl.